CGCUCUCAUACGCCGUUCAAUCCUAAUUCUGAAGAUCACCUGAAACGUAUUAAACAAACGAGUAAGUUAGAAGCCCAAUGUGUGACUCGGCCCACAAACAUAAUUUUUACUUAUAAUAUGCACAAGUGUAAAUAUCAUCAUAGAAUUUUACUUAUAAUGUACAUAUAUACAAAUGUCAUAUCAAAAUGUCAUAUUACCAGAAACAUAUAUCAGAUCAGAAUGUCAUAUUUUCAAAAGCAUAUGUCAAAUCAAAAUGUCAUAUCAGAUCAGAACAAAUCCUUCCCCCAAUCGAUACACACCAACUCCGUCCAACCAAUUAAACCAAAUAGGACUACAAAUCCAUCCAAUCACAUCGGGUCGUGGUGGUAUGCCACUCAUAAUGGUGCAGUUGAGCUGCCAAACAGAUAUUGUGGUUUAACGGUUGGAAUUACAGUAACACUGCCAUAAAACACUUCCUCCAUCAUACCAAAACUCACUUCAAUGCACAUGCAUAAUCAUAAUAACAUACGUACAUAUCACAUGAAUAGUAUGACAUGCAUACCUAAACACAUUUUUAUAGAUCAUUACAUAUCAUAUUGCUUACACUAAGAGUUAUUCUAUAUACAGAUGUCAUACAUGUUUUUUUACAUGUAAUUAUACUUUCAAAGUUAUCAGAACACAGAUCGUAGAUACAUUUUUCACAUACCUUAACCAUAUCACAUACUAACACAUAUUAAUAGAUGUCACAUUUCGAGUCUUAUUUUAGCCAAACAAACCCCACGGAACGUUUAAUUAUGAAUUUUUUAAUCAAACGGGCGUAAGUAAAAAUUUUCAGAAAAUGGGUCCACACAGUCUAACACACCCCCAUGUGGCCCACACGACCCAAAUAGCCCAGAAUGUGUGGUCCACACGAUCUGGCACAUGGUCGUGUGUCUCACACGGUCUGCCACAUAGCUUGGCACACGGCCGUGUGACGUCGACAGAAUGCAUUUCGGCUUUUCACUGUUCGCUAUUUUUUUCGAGUUUUUCAUUACACGCCUAGUCAUUUUUCGAUGUGAACGCAAUCGUGAAAAUUCCAAUACCUAAAUCGCUAUUCCAAAAAGAAUUAAUAAGCAAGUCUCGCACUAAAUCCGUCCACUAACUCGAACGCAACCAAUCCAUUAAUACGAACUAACGAAACUAGCCCUUAAUUAACACUUUCAUCACUUACCUUUUGCAAAACAAUAGCCAAUAGAAGUUCAAUUCACUGGAGGAUCCAAAAAUUCACGUUCCCCGCCUAACCAACAUUACAAAAUAACCGUUAAUUUCAACGUCACAACGAUAUAAAACACUCAAAGCAAACAUACGAAGAAUUACCCACGACGAACUUACAAAUCUAAUUCUGAAAUACUUACCACACACAGUCGUCACAAAUUAAUUGGCAAAGAGGCAACAAAAUCGAGAAUAACAA
This 1429-nucleotide long non-coding RNA is filed under the name Gossypium barbadense (sea-island cotton). RNAcentral describes it as "long non-coding RNA (GBAR_LNC018645)". Lineage: Eukaryota; Viridiplantae; Streptophyta; Magnoliopsida; Malvales; Malvaceae. The record is from RNAcentral.